RNAcentral lists this transfer RNA (66 nucleotides) under Pomacea maculata. RNAcentral's name for it is "tRNA-Gly". RNAcentral also lists the same sequence under 1 other name. The record is from RNAcentral. Lineage: Eukaryota; Metazoa; Mollusca; Gastropoda; Architaenioglossa; Ampullariidae.
ACAUUUUAAGUAUAAAAUUGUACACUUACCUUCCAAGUAAGAAGAUUAAUAAAUUUAAAAAAUGUA